This 305-nucleotide unclassified non-coding RNA is filed under the name Cortinarius sp. RNAcentral's name for it is "partial contains 5.8S ribosomal RNA, internal transcribed spacer 2, and large subunit ribosomal RNA". The stretch from base 1 to 52 matches the Rfam family "5.8S ribosomal RNA", at positions 103 to 154 of the family's 154-position model. Lineage: Eukaryota; Fungi; Basidiomycota; Agaricomycetes; Agaricales; Cortinariaceae. The record is from RNAcentral.
AACGCACAUUGCGCCUCUUGGUAUUCCGAGGGGCAUGUCUGUUUGAGCGUCAGUACCAACUCCCUCCCCGCUCCUGGCCAUCACCGGCCGGGGCGGCGGCGGAGGGGUCUUGGGGAGCAGGGGGCGGGCGGCAACGUCCGCCCCCCCUCCCCUAAUGUGGCACGCUUGCGGACCCCGGGCAGAGCCUGACGUAGUAAAACACCUCUCGUCGGUCGAAGCCUUUGCGGGAGCCGCCUCUGGGAACCAGAAAACUUCUUCAUUGCAGUUUUGACCUCAGAUCAGACAAGGAUACCCGCUGAACUUAA